UACGGAGGGGGCUAGCGUUGUUCGGAAUCACUGGGCGUAAAGCGCGCGUAGGCGGUUUGAUAAGUUGGGCGUGAAAUCCCGGGGCUCAACCCCGGAACUGCGCUCAAAACUGUUAGACUAGAGUCCGGAAGAGGGUGGUGGAAUUUCCAGUGUAGAGGUGAAAUUCGUAGAUAUUGGAAAGAACACCAGUGGCGAAGGCGACCACCUGGUCCGGUACUGACGCUGAGGUGCGAAAGCGUGGGGAGCGAACAGG
Molecule: ribosomal RNA, 253 nt
Filed under: uncultured bacterium
Lineage: Bacteria
Description: partial 16S ribosomal RNA
Rfam family: Bacterial small subunit ribosomal RNA
Source: RNAcentral